Molecule: ribosomal RNA, 405 nt
Filed under: uncultured bacterium
Lineage: Bacteria
Description: bacterial SSU rRNA
Rfam family: Bacterial small subunit ribosomal RNA
Source: RNAcentral
UGGGGACUAUUGCGCAAUGGGGGAAACCCUGACGCAGCAACGCCGCGUGAGUGAGGAAGUAUCUCGGUAUGUAAAGCUCUAUCAGCGGGGAAGAAGGAAGACGGUACCCGACUAAGAAGCCCCGGCUAACUACGUGCCAGCAGCCGCGGUAAUACGUAGGGGGCGAGCGUUAUCCGGAUUUACUGGGUGUAAAGGGAGCGUAGACGGCGUCGCAAGUCUGAAGUGAAAGCCCGUGGCUCAACCGCGGAACCGCUUUGGAAACUGCGAGGCUGGAGUGCUGGAGAGGUAAGCGGAAUUCCUGGUGUAGCGGUGAAAUGCGUAGAUAUCAGGAGGAACACCGGUGGCGAAGGCGGCUUACUGGACAGUGACUGACGUUGAGGCUCGAAAGCGUGGGGAGCGAACAGG